AUGGAGCAGAAAUGUCUGGUCUCUCUGGCUGCUGACUGCAAACAUUCCAAUAUUUUUCUGCUUGAGUGCCCUUCCACACAGCCAUUUAACCCAGAAUAUCAAGGCAGAAAAUCCCCCAAUAUUUGCUUUGAAUUGGGUUAUUUGAGUCCACACUGCCACAUAUUGCAAUUCAAAGCAGAAAAUGUGGAAUUUUAUUUAAUUGUGUGGAUGAGUGUGACAGAUCCUCCUUCUCUAGAGGUUUUGAUUCACAGGCUGGGUGGCCAUCUGUGGGGAAUGCUCUCAUUGUGAGUUCCCCUGUGUGGUAGAAAUGGCCUUUGGCGAAGGUGGAGCGGUCUCUUCUAACUCUAGGAUUCUCUGGGUUGCUGUGAGUUUUCCGGGCUGUAUGGCCAUGUUCCAGAAGCAUUCUCUCCUGAUGUUUCACCCACAUCUAUGGCAGGCAUCCUCAGAGGUUGUGAGGUCCGUUGGAAACUAGGCUGUGGGGGUUAUAUAUCUGUGGAAUGUCCAGGUUGUUUUGUCUGCUUGAAGCAAGUGUUCAUGUUGCAAUUGGCCACCUUGAUUAACACAGAAUAGCCUUGCAGCUUCAAAGCCUGACUGCUUAAUGCCUGAAGGAAUCCUUUGUUGGGAAGUGUUAGCUGGCCCUGAUUGUUUCCUGUCUGGAAUUCCUCUGCUUUCAGAGUGUUGUCCUUUAUUUACUGUCCUGAUUUUAGAAUUUUUUUAAAUAUUGGAAGCCACAUGUUAAUUUUCAUGGUUUCCUCCUUUCUGUUAAAAUUGUCCACAUGCUUGUGGAUUUCAGUGGCUUCUCUGUAUAGUCUGACAUUGUGAUCGAGGUGACCACUCCCCUCCAGGACUUUGUAAAAGAUAGUUCAAAAAUCAAGACUUGAUGUUCUAUAUUCCAUAUAUUUAUAGUAGAAGGUGAUUGAGACUUUUUACUGGAGUUUACUGUGGAUUAUCCCUGCACUCUGAGGCAAGAGAUAACAACUUCAUGAAUUGUAAAAUCAUGCUGCUAAAACUCCACUUUUAUGAAUUUCCAUGCUGGGUUCUCCAAAUGUUAUGAACUUCAUUCUUAUCAAAUAUUUUCAAUUGUUUAUAUCAUUCAUGAUUCCCCUUUAUGCAAUGUAACUCACUUUUAUGGAUUCUCCCUUAUUUCCAUGAAAUCUAUCUAUCUGCCUAUAUGUAUUUGUACUCUUUGGGAUCCCCGAAAAAUAUGUAUUUCUCCCAGCAUGGUUUAUAUUCCAACUUUAUUUUAUUUUUCAUUUUAUUUCACAUAAUUGUCAAGUCAUGAAACCAAAUAGGAAAUAUUUUGAACUCAACCUGAACCCCAGAACUUAUCCCAUUUCCUAUGACCCAGGCUUCCUUUCCCAAAAACAAAAGGAUAAUCUGCCACCGCUAAACCCAAUCAAAUUCAAAUUGCAUGGACAAUAUAGGGCUUGAGUCGCCGAAUUCGGAGUUUGCUGACCUAAAGGUGAUUCGCCCCAAGGCAAACAUUGUCAUAUCACACCCAAAGGAAAAACCAGGACACCUCAGGAAGGCGCCCUGCAGAGCCUGUCAAUAUGGCUCAUCACCACCCAUCUUUGCUUCCAUCUCUGACACCCCAAGGCAUAUCUAAAAUCUGUAUACGUGACAGAAACCCGGACACCCUUGAUUGCUGCCAUUAAUAAAUUAAGCACUCUUUAGAAAUCGGUCUAGCAGGACUUAAUCCGCCAGUUCCUGUCCUGUCACCUCAUUGUUUCAAUAACUCCCGCCUUCUCUUUCCUGAUUGGCCCGAGUAGAGACAAAAGGCAGCUUCCUAUUGGGCCAACGGAGCAAGGCGGGAAACGAAAGCCCGCCUCGUUCAACCUUCUAGCCUAUCAACGAUCAGAUGGGCGGCGGAGCAGGGCGGGAAAUUCAAAGGGCUUUCAGACUGAAACUUUGUAUAAAUAUGGCUUUAUUUUGAUUAUAUGGUACCCUAGUAGACCGAAUGAUCGCUACUAGUGUCCUCUUCAGCUGAAUUGCUCAAUAAAGACUCCUUGGCGGAUUUUCCUUCAACUUUGGCGGACCUUCUUCAUUUCGGCUUCAGGUUGUAUUGCGGCUCGUAAUUCUCCUUUUGGCUUCGCCAAGGUCCGUUCUCUCAGGACCGGAUCGGGUCUCUCCUUAAGGGCCCGAUCCCCUAAAACGCGGUCGACAACAACAUGAUGGUUUUGGAGUGGUCCAGCAUUUCUGUAUUCUCAAAUAAUAUGCUGUGUCCAGGUUAGUUCAUCAAGUGCUCUGCUUCUAAGCUUCUCCGGCCCCUUCCACACAGCUGGAAAAAAAAAUCCCAUGUUUUCUGCUUUGAACUGGAAUAUAUGGCAGUGUUGACUCAGAUAACCCAGUUCAAAGAA
Molecule: long non-coding RNA, 2357 nt
Organism: Anolis carolinensis (green anole)
Lineage: Eukaryota; Metazoa; Chordata; Lepidosauria; Squamata; Anolidae
Source: Ensembl